This 336-nucleotide ribosomal RNA is filed under the name Salmonella enterica. Its description in RNAcentral is "bacterial SSU rRNA". It matches the Rfam family "Bacterial small subunit ribosomal RNA", at positions 1 to 333 of the family's 1533-position model. RNAcentral also lists the same sequence under 7 other names. The record is from RNAcentral. Lineage: Bacteria; Pseudomonadati; Pseudomonadota; Gammaproteobacteria; Enterobacterales; Enterobacteriaceae.
AAAUUGAAGAGUUUGAUCAUGGCUCAGAUUGAACGCUGGCGGCAGGCCUAACACAUGCAAGUCGAACGGUAACAGGAAGCAGCUUGCUGCUUUGCUGACGAGUGGCGGACGGGUGAGUAAUGUCUGGGAAACUGCCUGAUGGAGGGGGAUAACUACUGGAAACGGUGGCUAAUACCGCAUAACGUCGCAAGACCAAAGAGGGGGACCUUCGGGCCUCUUGCCAUCAGAUGUGCCCAGAUGGGAUUAGCUUGUUGGUGAGGUAACGGCUCACCAAGGCGACGAUCCCUAGCUGGUCUGAGAGGAUGACCAGCCACACUGGAACUGAGACACGGUCCA